RNAcentral lists this ribosomal RNA (490 nucleotides) under uncultured bacterium. RNAcentral's name for it is "partial 16S ribosomal RNA". It matches the Rfam family "Bacterial small subunit ribosomal RNA", at positions 30 to 507 of the family's 1533-position model. The record is from RNAcentral.
AUUGAACGCUGGCGGCAGGCCCAACACAUGCAAGUCGAACGGUAACAGGAAACAGCUUGCUGUUUCGCUGACGAGUGGCGGACGGGUGAGUAAUGUCUGGGAAACUGCCUGAUGGAGGGGGAUAACUACUGGAAACGGUAGCUAAUACCGCAUAACGUCGCAAGACCAAAGAGGGGGACCUUCGGGCCUCUUGCCAUCGGAUGUGCCCAGAUGGGAUUAGCUAGUAGGUGGGGUAACGGCUCACCUAGGCGACGAUCCCUAGCUGGUCUGAGAGGAUGACCAGCCACACUGGAACUGAGACACGGUCCAGACUCCUACGGGAGGCAGCAGUGGGGAAUAUUGCACAAUGGGCGCAAGCCUGAUGCAGCCAUGCCGCGUGUAUGAAGAAGGCCUUCGGGUUGUAAAGUACUUUCAGCGGGGAGGAAGGGAGUAAAGUUAAUACCUUUGCUCAUUGACGUUACCCGCAGAAGAAGCACCGGCUAACUCCGUG